GCCGGGUGCAGUGGCUUACACCUGUAAUCCCAGCACUUUGGGAGGCCGAGGCAGGCGGAUCACCUGAGGUCGGGAGUUCAAGACCAGCCUGACCAACACGGUGAAACCCUGUCUCUA
RNAcentral lists this small RNA (117 nucleotides) under Macaca mulatta (Rhesus monkey). RNAcentral's name for it is "Metazoan signal recognition particle RNA (ENSMMUG00000053230.1)". The record is from Rfam by way of RNAcentral. Lineage: Eukaryota; Metazoa; Chordata; Mammalia; Primates; Cercopithecidae.